This 377-nucleotide long non-coding RNA is filed under the name Monodelphis domestica (gray short-tailed opossum). Its description in RNAcentral is "lncRNA (ENSMODG00000031629.2)". The record is from RNAcentral. Lineage: Eukaryota; Metazoa; Chordata; Mammalia; Didelphimorphia; Didelphidae.
CUGUAUAAAUAUUGAAACAUUUUCUAAUUAACCCUUAGGAAGAAGAAAGAAAAUAGUCAUUUUACUUCUCAGCUCAAAUCUAUCUUGGAAUUACAACUAUCCUUGGUUCUGGCAGAACAUCCAUUUUAUUUAGCAUCAGAGGCAACUUUUCUUAUUAUUGGAACAUCCAGAGGAUGGCUGACUACUUUGCUCUGCCUCAUGCUCAUCAUAGUAGCAAAGGUACUGAAGCAGAUAAUCAUCAUUGAACAUUAAACAAAGAUCAUUAAAGAAAGGUGUUGUUUUUGUACAUCGUUCAUCUUCAAAGGGACCGAUGGUAUCCUGAGGUGUGUAAACCUUAAAAUUUAACCUUAAAAAAACCUUAAAAACCUGUCUUGAAU